CAGCUUACUGGACCAUUACUGACGCUGAUGCACGAAAGCGUGGGGAGCGAACAGGAUUAGAUACCCUGGUAGUCCACGCCGUAAACGAUGAUCACUCGCUGUUAGCGAUACACAGUUAGCGGCUAAGCAAAAGCAUUAAGUGAUCCACCUGGGGAGUACGGCCGCAAGGCUGAAACUCAAAGGAAUUGACGGGGGCCCGCACAAGCGGAGGAACAUGUGGUUUAAUUCGAUGAUACGCGAGGAACCUUACCUGGGCUUAAAUGUAGAGUGCAUUGAGAGGAAACUUUCAUUUUCUUCGGAACUCUUUACAAGGUGCUGCAUGGUUGUCGUCAGCUCGUGCCGUGAGGUGUCGGGUUAAGUCCCAUAACGAGCGCAACCCUUAUCGUUAGUUGCCAGCGGGUAAUGCCGGGAACUCUAGCGAAACUGCCGGUGUAAACCGAGAGGAAGGUGGGGAUGACGUCAAAUCAGCACGGCCCUUAUGUCCAGGGCUACACACGUGUUACAAUGGCCGGUACAGAGGGCAGCUACCUGUUGACAGGAUGCGAAUCUCCAAAGCCGGUCUCAGUUCGGAUCGGAGUCUGCAACUCGACUCCGUGAAGCUGGAUUCGCUAGUAAUCGCGCAUCAGCCAUGGCGCGGUGAAUACGUUCCCGGGCCUUGUACACACCGCCCGUCAAGCCAUGGAAGUUGGGGGUACCUGAAGUCCGUAACCGUAAGGAGCGGCCUAGGGUAAAACUAGUGACUGGGGCUAAGUCGUAACAAGGUAACCGUA
This 770-nucleotide ribosomal RNA is filed under the name uncultured bacterium. RNAcentral's name for it is "bacterial SSU rRNA". It matches the Rfam family "Bacterial small subunit ribosomal RNA", at positions 722 to 1504 of the family's 1533-position model. The record is from RNAcentral.